AACGCUGGCGGCGUGCCUAACACAUGCAAGUCGAACGGGGCGAUUCCUUCGGGGAUCGCUUAGUGGCGAACGGGUGAGUAACGCGUGAGGAACCUGCCUUUCAGUGGGGGGACAACAGUUGGAAACGACUGCUAAUACCGCAUAACAUGUACGGAUCGCAUGGUCUGUACAUCAAAGCUUUAUGUGCUGAAAGAUGGCCUCGCGUCUGAUUAGCUAGUUGGUGGGGUAACGGCCCACCAAGGCGACGAUCAGUAGCCGGUCUGAGAGGAUGAACGGCCACAUUGGGACUGAGAUACGGCCCAGACUCCUACGGGAGGCAGCAGUGGGGAAUAUUGGGCCAAUGGGCGAAAGCCUGACCCAGCGACGCCGCGUGAGGGAAGAAGGUCUUCGGAUUGUAAACCUUAGUCAACAGGGAAGAAGAAAGUGACGGUACCUGUGGAGGAAGCCACGGCUAACUACGUG
This 462-nucleotide ribosomal RNA is filed under the name uncultured bacterium. Its description in RNAcentral is "bacterial SSU rRNA". It matches the Rfam family "Bacterial small subunit ribosomal RNA", at positions 32 to 507 of the family's 1533-position model. The record is from RNAcentral.